GUGCUCCUACGGGGGGCAGCAGUCGGGAAUAUUGCGCAAUGGAGGAAACUCUGACGCAGUGACGCCGCGUGCAGGAAGAAGGUUUUCGGAUUGUAAACUGCUUUAGACAGGGAAGAAAGAAAUGACGGUACCUGUAGAAUAAGCUCCGGCUAACUACGUGCCAGCAGCCGCGGUAAUACGUGGGGAGCAAGCGUUAUCCGGAUUUAUUGGGGGUAAAGGGUGCGAAGACGGG
This 232-nucleotide ribosomal RNA is filed under the name uncultured bacterium. RNAcentral's name for it is "partial 16S ribosomal RNA". It matches the Rfam family "Bacterial small subunit ribosomal RNA", at positions 333 to 579 of the family's 1533-position model. The record is from RNAcentral.